UUCGCCCUUAGAGUUUGAUCCUGGCUCAGGACGAACGCUGGCGGCGCGCCUAACACAUGCAAGUCGAGCGGAGUUACUUGAUCUGAUUCUUUCGGGAUGACGAACUUGUAACUUAGUGGCGAACGGGUGAGUAACGCGUGAGGAACCUGCCCCAGAGUGGGGGACAACAGUUGGAAACGACUGCUAAUACCGCAUAAGCCCACGGUACCGCAUGGUACAGAGGGAAAAGGAGCAAUUCGCUUUGGGAUGGCCUCGCGUCUGAUUAGAUAGUUGGUGAGGUAACGGCCCACCAAGUCGACGAUCAGUAGCCGGACUGAGAGGUUGAUCGGCCACAUUGGGACUGAGAUACGGCCCAGACUCCUACGGGAGGCAGCAGUGGGGAAUAUUGCACAAUGGGGGAAACCCUGAUGCAGCGACGCCGCGUGGAGGAAGAAGGUCUUCGGAUUGUAAACUCCUGUCGUUGAGGACGAUAAUGACGGUACUCAACAAGAAAGCCACGGCUAACUACGUGCCAGCAGCCGCGGUAAAACGUAGGUGGCAAGCGUUGUCCGGAAUUACUGGGUGUAAAGGGAGCGCAGGCGGAAGCGCAAGUUGGAUGUGAAACCCAUGGGCUCAACCCAUGGCCUGCAUCCAAAACUGUGUUUCUUGAGUAGUGCAGAGGUAGGCGGAAUUCCCGGUGUAGCGGUGGAAUGCGUAGAUAUCGGGAGGAACACCAGUGGCGAAGGCGGCUUGCUGGACGACAACUGACGCUGAGGCGCGAAAGCGUGGGGAGCAAACAGGAUUAGAUACCCUGGUAGUCCACGCUGUAAACGAUGAAUACUAGGUGUGGGGGGACUGACCCCCUCCGUGCCGCAGUUAACACAAUAAGUAUUCCACCUGGGGAGUACGACCGCAAGGUUGAAACUCAAAGGAAUUGACGGGGGCCCGCACAAGCAGUGGAUUAUGUGGUUUAAUUCGACGCAACGCGAAGAACCUUACCAGGACUUGACAUCCAACUAACGAAGUAGAGAUACAUCAGGUGCCCUUCGGGGAAAGUUGAGACAGGUGGUGCAUGGUUGUCGUCAGCUCGUGUCGUGAGAUGUUGGGUUAAGUCCCGCAACGAGCGCAACCCCUAUUGUUAGUUGCUACGAAAGAGCACUCUAGCGAGACUGCCGUUGACAAAACGGAGGAAGGCGGGGACGACGUCAAAUCAUCAUGCCCCUUAUGUCCUGGGCUACACACGUAAUACAAUGGUGGCCAACAGAGGGAAGCGAAGCCGCGAGGUAGAGCAAAUCCCUAAAAGCCAUCUCAGUUCGGAUUGCAGGCUGCAACUCGCCUGCAUGAAGCUGGAAUUGCUAGUAAUCGCGGAUCAGCAUGCCGCGGUGAAUACGUUCCCGGGCCUUGCACACACAGCCCGUCA
This 1399-nucleotide ribosomal RNA is filed under the name uncultured bacterium. RNAcentral's name for it is "16S ribosomal RNA". It matches the Rfam family "Bacterial small subunit ribosomal RNA". The record is from RNAcentral.